CAGUAAUCCAGAUCUGUUUUCCUGAAUGCACCACAUCAAAGACACAACGCGGCGUUUGAGGCUGGACCUGUCUCACAUGCUGUGAUUCUCUCCAGAAGCUUCACUGAGACUGCAUGACUGCGUAGUUGCAGUAAGUUUAGUGAGAGGCAUACUUCAGCAAGACUCACACCGCAGUGAAUUCGCGAGAUUUUGCUGAUUUGGCAUUUCCCUGUUUGUCUUCCCUGUUCUCUCACCCUCCACACUGCUGCCUCCCAGCUAGUCAAGGGAAAUGCAGCUGUCUGUCUUAAUUCUUGUACUGCUAAAGGCCUCUUUCUGUAAAGGGGGAGUUCUCUGCUUCACUGUCACGCACCACAUUGUGCAUGAACAGGG
Gambusia affinis (western mosquitofish) is the source of this 369-nucleotide long non-coding RNA. RefSeq lists it as uncharacterized. NCBI's taxonomy places the organism in Eukaryota, Metazoa, Chordata, Actinopteri, Cyprinodontiformes, Poeciliidae. The record is from RefSeq and is a predicted model, not a curated record. The transcript is spliced from 3 exons.